GAUGAACGCUAGCGGGAGGCCUAACACAUGCAAGCCGAGCGGUAUUGUUUCUUCGGACAUGAGAGAGCGGCGUACGGGUGCGUAACACGUGUGCAACCUGCCUUUAUCUGGGGGAUAGCCUUUCGAAAGGAAGAUUAAUACUCCAUAAUAUAUUGAACGGCAUCGUUUAAUAUUGAAAGCUCCGGCGGAUAGAGAUGGGCACGCGCAAGAUUAGCUAGUUGGUGAGGUAACGGCUCACCAAGGCGAUGAUCUUUAGGGGGCCUGAGAGGGUGAUCCCCCACACUGGUACUGAGACACGGACCAGACUCCUACGGGAGGCAGCAGUGAGGAAUAUUGGUCAAUGGGUGCAAGCCUGAACCAGCCAUCCCGCGUGAAGGACGACUGCCCUAUGGGUUGUAAACUUCUUUUGGAUAGGGAUAAACCUACCCUCGAGAGGGUAGCUGAAGGUACUAUACGAAUAAGCACCGGCUAACUCCGUG
Molecule: ribosomal RNA, 479 nt
Filed under: uncultured bacterium
Lineage: Bacteria
Description: partial 16S ribosomal RNA
Rfam family: Bacterial small subunit ribosomal RNA
Source: RNAcentral